RNAcentral lists this ribosomal RNA (260 nucleotides) under uncultured archaeon. RNAcentral describes it as "partial 16S ribosomal RNA". It matches the Rfam family "Archaeal small subunit ribosomal RNA", at positions 748 to 1008 of the family's 1478-position model. The record is from RNAcentral.
AGGGUGUAAACGCUGCAGACUUGGUGUUGGAGGCCCUUUGGGGGCAUUCAGUGCCGGAGAGAAGUUGUUAAGUCUGCUACUUGGGGAGUACGUCCGCAAGGAUGAAACUUAAAGGAAUUGGCGGGGGAGCACCGCAACGGGAGGAGCGUGCGGUUUAAUUGGAUUCAACACCGUAAACUCACCAGGGAAGACUGUUACAUGAAGGCCGAGAUGAAGACUCUGCUAGAUUUUCAGAGAGGCGGUGCAUGGCGUCAGUGACU